UUUUAAAUUUUGAAGUCAAUCAUUAUUUUAAAUUUAAAUUUUGAAGUAAACCAUUAUUGUGUUUGAUUUUAAAUUUUGUAUGCUUUGAAAUCUUGAUGUUUUUUUUAUGAGAUGCUUUGACUAUAUUAUUUGUAAUUUUAGGGAUGCUUCGAGUCUUUGACUAUUGUUUUUGUACUCGAGUUGCAUAUCUCACAAACUUUUUGUGUUUUGUAAUUUUAGGUGAAGAGCUUCUUUCAGACUCCUUCCCCUACAAGGAACUAUUGAAUGGGUUCCUAUGAGAAGUUGAAGAAAAGUUAUGGAUAAUGAAAACAAUGCUCCUUCGU
RNAcentral lists this long non-coding RNA (323 nucleotides) under Helianthus annuus (common sunflower). RNAcentral describes it as "sRNA HanXRQr2_Chr07g0280881". Lineage: Eukaryota; Viridiplantae; Streptophyta; Magnoliopsida; Asterales; Asteraceae. The record is from RNAcentral.